AGCAAAUGAUGUUAUUUCAAUGUUGAUAUUUGGUCAAGAUGGUUGAUUUACAGUUAUAGUUGAACACUGAUGGUGGAUCAACCAUUAAUCAACCACUGAUAAAAUAAAAAGUUUAAAAAAUGUGUUCGAAUCAAUGUAAUGGUUGAAGGAAACAUUUGAUCAAUGUUGAAUAUAUGUUGAUUUUGUCAUCAUCAUACAUUGCACCACUGGACGGGAGCCUGGGGUGCACUCUGGGUGAGACCAUUUUGUGGGAGGGGGGUUUCCUAUAUUUCAUUGAAUUUCAUUUAUUUAAUUUAGAAUUUUAAUAGAGCACAAGGAACUAUGAAGAAUAGAUUAUUAUUUAUGGUUAUGUGCAAAUCUUGUGUGUGCAACAUGUAAGGAAAAAACGAACAGAAAAACUUCUCCGUUUUCUACCGUACCGGCCGCUAUUUGGAAUGGUCCAAGUAACCGUCUCUCAGAAGAACUUUCAGAAGAGCUCGAGCUCCGUUGACGACGAGACUUGCGACCAUAGACUGUCCGUGCUUGCGACUGAAGAAAUUUGCUUCAACAACACUGGCCAGUUCUCCUCUUUGUGGUGAGGCAGGUCUGCUAUGCUAGAAAUGGCUAGGACCGGCGGCUUACCCAGCAGGCCUUCAGCGAAUUGGUGAAAAAUUGGCGUCGGUACGCCCCUUAGCGUGUCGGGGGAAAGAAAAGGAACUAGAUCCUCCACUUCAGGAUUGAAGUCUUUUUUUUUUCUGUUGUUACUGACACAAUAAAACAACAAUAACAAACAA
This is a long non-coding RNA of Neoarius graeffei (lesser salmon catfish), 773 nucleotides long. RefSeq lists it as uncharacterized. Lineage: Eukaryota; Metazoa; Chordata; Actinopteri; Siluriformes; Ariidae. The transcript is spliced from 3 exons. The record is from RefSeq and is a predicted model, not a curated record.